RNAcentral lists this unclassified non-coding RNA (199 nucleotides) under Glomeraceae sp. RNAcentral's name for it is "partial contains 5.8S ribosomal RNA and internal transcribed spacer 2". The stretch from base 1 to 71 matches the Rfam family "5.8S ribosomal RNA", at positions 84 to 154 of the family's 154-position model. The record is from RNAcentral. Lineage: Eukaryota; Fungi; Glomeromycota; Glomeromycetes; Glomerales; Glomeraceae.
GUGAAUCAUCAAAUUUUUGAACGCACAUUGCACUCCCUGGUAUUCCGGGGAGUAUGCCUGUUUGAGGGUCGUUAGAAUAAAAAAUCGUUGCGUCGCUCUUUUUUUUAAGUGUGAUCUCGUCGUAAUUGUGCGGUCUUUCAGAUGUUAAUUCAUGUCAAUGUUCCUUGGAAUUGAGCCAUCCGGUCCGAUUGAAUCGUCU